Molecule: long non-coding RNA, 516 nt
Filed under: Anser brachyrhynchus (Pink-footed goose)
Lineage: Eukaryota; Metazoa; Chordata; Aves; Anseriformes; Anatidae
Description: lncRNA (ENSABRG00000001189.1)
Source: RNAcentral
CUAGGUGCUCUCUAUAUUACAACAGCAGGAAUGAACUAAAAUCUUCAGGAAUACAGAAGCAGUUCUGUGAAUACUUUGGAUGGUUCCAGGCUUAUCUUCCAUAAAACAGCUAAAAGAUGUAAAUGCAGUUUUUUUACAGUUGCGACCUUCAGUACCUAUCCUGUGUAUUUUAAGAAUUUCCUCAGCCAGGGAACAGAUACAUUGGUUAAGAGUAACUGCUCACUGGACAGCUGUUCUGCCUGAAAAGAAAGAAAAGAUCACGUAUAAAAGACUGGAUACAUAAGGAGAAUCCUUGUGCUCUUCAACUGAGGAAAAUCCUGGCUUAUGUGUUGAGUGUUGGAGUAUGGUUGCACAGCACAGGGCGGCAUGGUGCAGCUAGACUGGAAUCAAGCUGAAGGCUGUCUUGGAGACCUAGUAGCCCAGGGGAGCUAUUAAGGUAAUUAGGACUUUUUUUUUUUUCAUGAGGAAAACACAAACAAAAAUUGGCAAUAAAAAAACACCCACAUCUAAACCCCA